GACGAACGCUGGCGGCGUGCUUAACACAUGCAAGUCGAACGGAAAGGCCCCUUUGGGGGUACUCGAGUGGCGCACGGGUGAGUAACACGUGAGUAACCUGCCCUUGACUUCGGGAUAACUUCAGGAAACUGGGGCUAAUACCGGAUAGGAAUCCUUGCUGCAUGGUGGGGGUUGGAAAGCUUCGGCGGUUUUGGAUGGACUCGCGGCUUAUCAGCUUGUUGGUGGGGUAGUGGCUUACCAAGGCUUUGACGGGUAGCCGGCCUGAGAGGGCGACCGGCCACAUUGGGACUGAGAUACGGCCCAGACUCCUACGGGAGGCAGCAGGGGGGAAUAUUGCACAAGGGGCGGAAGCCGGAUGCAGCAACGCCGCGUGCGGGAUGACGGCCUUCGGGUUGUAAACCGCUUUCAGCAGGGGCGAAGCUUGUGGUGACGGUACCUGCAGAAGAAGCACCGGCUAACUACGUG
This 465-nucleotide ribosomal RNA is filed under the name uncultured bacterium. RNAcentral's name for it is "partial 16S ribosomal RNA". It matches the Rfam family "Bacterial small subunit ribosomal RNA", at positions 28 to 507 of the family's 1533-position model. The record is from RNAcentral.